Molecule: ribosomal RNA, 497 nt
Filed under: uncultured bacterium
Lineage: Bacteria
Description: partial 16S ribosomal RNA
Rfam family: Bacterial small subunit ribosomal RNA
Source: RNAcentral
GAUGAACGCUGGCGGCGUGCCUAAUACAUGCAAGUCGAGCGAACAGACGAGGAGCUUGCUCCUCUGACGUUAGCGGCGGACGGGUGAGUAACACGUGGAUAACCUACCUAUAAGACUGGGAUAACUUCGGGAAACCGGAGCUAAUACCGGAUAAUAUAUUGAACCGCAUGGUUCAAUAGUGAAAGACGGUUUUGCUGUCACUUAUAGAUGGAUCCGCGCCGCAUUAGUUAGUUGGUAAGGUAACGGCUUACCAAGGCAACGAUGCGUAGCCGACCUGAGAGGGUGAUCGGCCACACUGGAACUGAGACACGGUCCAGACUCCUACGGGAGGCAGCAGUAGGGAAUCUUCCGCAAUGGGCGAAAGCCUGACGGAGCAACGCCGCGUGAGUGACGAAGGUCUUCGGAUCGUAAAACUCUGUUAUUAGGGAAGAACAAAUGUGUAAGUAACUAUGCACGUCUUGACGGUACCUAAUCAGAAAGCCACGGCUAACUACGUG